CACGCAAGCCCCGCCCCCACACCUGAGCCGCACCUUUGCCUAGGUGAACCACAUUUCCCAGCGGCCCCUGCGGGCCUUUUGCGCCUGCGCACUGGCAGGGACGGGGGCCGACGGAACUCCCGCGCUCUCCGGUCGCUUGGCCUCACCCGGUGUUGCCCCGCCAUGGAGAGGGUCGCUGUGGGGCGGGCCAGCUACGCGGACGCCACCGAGGCCGAGGGCGUCCCCACUCCGUCGCCCCCGCCGCCGGUCUCCCCGCCCGCCCUCGUCCGGGCGACCGACGCGGCGGAAGACGGUCCGGCCCCUCAACCUGAGGCGGGCGCCCCCGGCUGCUCCGGCGCCCGGCCCCCCGAGCUGCAGCCCGAGCGCAGCCUCGGCCACUUGAAGGGUCGCUUCGAAGACUACGACGAGGAGCUGGAGGAGGAUGAGGAGCUCGAAGAGGAGGAGGAAGAGGAGGAGGAGGAAAUGAGCCACUUCUCGCUGAGGCUUGAGGGGGUCCGGCCGGACUCGGAGGACGAGGAGGAGCGCCUGAUUAAUCUCACUGAGCUGACCCCAUACAUCUUGUGUUCCAUUUGCAAAGGUUACUUAAUAGAUGCAACUACCAUUACUGAAUGCCUUCAUACCUUUUGUAAAAGCUGCAUUGUAAGACAUUUUUACUACAGCAACAGAUGCCCAAAGUGCAACAUAGUGGUACAUCAGACACAACCUCUUUAUAACAUAAGGUUGGACCGGCAGUUACAAGACAUAGUGUACAAAUUAGUGAUCAAUCUAGAGGAAAGAGAAAAAAAGCAAAUGCAUGACUUUUAUAAAGAAAGAGGUCUAGAAGUACCUAAACCUGCUAUGCCACAGACUGCCCCUUUAAGCAAAGGAAGAACUAAGAAAGUCCUAGAAUCAGUGUUUCGUAUUCCACCUGAACUUGAUAUGUCUUUAUUACUGGAAUUCAUUGGUGCUAAUGAAGACACAGGACAUUUUAAGCCAUUGGAAAAGAAGUUUGUCCGAGUUUCGGGAGAAGCAACUAUUGGGCAUGUAGAAAAAUUCCUCAGAAGAAAAAUGGGUCUUGAUCCAGCUUGUCAGGGAUCAAACUCAUGACCUGCCUGCUUGCAAGGCAGGUGGACAUCAUCUGUGGCGAUCACUUGCUGGAGCGGUACCAGACCCUGCGGGAGAUCCGGCGGGCAAUAGGUGAUGCAGCAAUGCAGGAUGGUCUUCUUGUUCUUCAUUAUGGUCUUGUGGUUUCUCCUCUGAAAAUAACUUGAAGAGGUGAAUUAUGUUUCAAGGAGGAGAAGGAGGCUUCUGCAGGACUGCAUUUCACCAAAGACUUCCACAGAAUAUAUCACCGUCACCGCUUCACGCUGCCAAGAUGUAGCUAAUCUACUUUUAGAACCAGGAUACAGCUUGGGAUGAAGGAAUGCAUCUGUUAUUAGAAACUGUAUAAAAGCAUCAGAGCUCAGGGGAAAUUUUCAGAACAUUGCCUUUCAAACUUGUUAUUCCAGAUACUUUGACAUUGAUUUUUCCUUCCCAUUUUUACAGCACACUGGUUACUGUGUCCUCCAUUGUUGAGUGCACACUUUUGACCGGUCAGGCGACCCUGGGAAAGCAGGCAGUGCAUGUGUGGAGGCUCAGAGCAGAAUGGCGGGCUGUGCCUGCGUGUCACUAUUCUAUGUGAAAAGACUGUUUCCUUUAGGGUGUAUUGCCCACGCCAAAAGCCUUCAGUAUAAUAAAACUUCUUAACGUA
Cavia porcellus (domestic guinea pig) is the source of this 1729-nucleotide RNA transcript. It is a transcript of the gene named polycomb group ring finger 6, with no coding region annotated. NCBI's taxonomy places the organism in Eukaryota, Metazoa, Chordata, Mammalia, Rodentia, Caviidae. The transcript has 11 exons. The record is from RefSeq and is a predicted model, not a curated record.